CUACAAAGGAAUUGACGGGGCCCGCACAAGCGGUGGAGCAUGUGGUUUAAUUCGACGCAACGCGAAGAACCUUACCAGGGCUUGACAUCCCCUGACCGCGUAUGAAAGUACGUUUUCACCCUCGGGUGACAGGGAGACAGGUGGUGCAUGGUUGUCGUCAGCUCGUGUCGUGAGAUGUUGGGUUAAGUCCCGCAACGAGCGCAACCCCUACGUUUAGUUGCUAACGCGUGAAGGCGAGCACUCUAGACGAACUGCCGUCGACAAAACGGAGGAAGGUGGGAUGACGUCAAAUCAUCAUGCCCCUUAUGUUCUGGGCUACACACGUGCUACAAUGGCCGGUACAGACGGACGCAAAGCCGCGAGGUGGAGCAAAUCCUAAAAAGCCGGUCUCAGUUCGGAUUGCAGGCUGCAAUUCGCCUGCAUGAAGUCGGAAUCGCUAGUAAUCGCAGGUCAGCAUACUGCGGUGAAUACGUUCCCGGGCCUU
RNAcentral lists this ribosomal RNA (484 nucleotides) under uncultured Pelotomaculum sp. Its description in RNAcentral is "bacterial SSU rRNA". It matches the Rfam family "Bacterial small subunit ribosomal RNA", at positions 903 to 1382 of the family's 1533-position model. Lineage: Bacteria; Bacillati; Bacillota; Clostridia; Eubacteriales; Desulfotomaculaceae. The record is from RNAcentral.